Molecule: ribosomal RNA, 313 nt
Filed under: uncultured soil bacterium
Lineage: Bacteria
Description: bacterial SSU rRNA
Rfam family: Bacterial small subunit ribosomal RNA
Source: RNAcentral
AGAACGAACGCUGGCGGCAUGCCUAACACAUGCAAGUCGAACGAGACCUUCGGGUCUAGUGGCGCACGGGUGCGUAACGCGUGGGAAUCUGCCCUUGGGUUCGGAAUAACAGUUGGAAACGACUGCUAAUACCGGAUGAUGACGUAAGUCCAAAGAUUUAUCGCCCAGGGAUGAGCCCGCGUAGGAUUAGCUAGUUGGUGAGGUAAAGGCUCACCAAGGCGACGAUCCUUAGCUGGUCUGAGAGGAUGAUCAGCCACACUGGGACUGAGACACGGCCCAGACUCCUACGGGAGCAGCAGUGGGGAUUUGGACA